Molecule: ribosomal RNA, 253 nt
Filed under: uncultured bacterium
Lineage: Bacteria
Description: partial 16S ribosomal RNA
Rfam family: Bacterial small subunit ribosomal RNA
Source: RNAcentral
UACGUAGGGGGCAAGCGUUGUCCGGAUUUAUUGGGCGUAAAGCGCUCGCAGGUGGUUCGUCGCGUCGUGCGUGAAAGACCCCGGCUCAACUGGGGAGUGUCGUGCGAUACGGGCGGACUGGAGGCCAGUAGGGGGAUGCGGAAUUCCGGGUGUAGUGGUGGAAUGCGUAGAGAUCCGGAGGAACACCAGCGGCGAAGGCGGCAUCCUGGACUGUAACUGACACUGAGGAACGAAAGCCAGGGGAGCAAACGGG